CGCCCGGCACCCGGGCCGCGCCCCUCCUUCCAGGCGUAUGCAGUCAACGCGCUUGGGAGCGCCUCCGGGGCGCACAGGCGCGAAAACUCCGCAAUGCACGAAAGUGUGACGGGGCUACCCCGAGUGCCUUCCGCUGAGGAAGGGUUUCCCCGGUAUAACAAGCCGGGGGAAUAAGGAGAGGGCAAGACUGGUGUCAGCCGCCGCGGUAAUCCAGCUCUCCGAGUGGUAGGGAUGAUUAUUGGGCUUAAGCGUCGUAGCCGGCUUUCAAGUCUCUGUUAAUUAGCGACCUAUCGUUAGCCGCGGGAGAUACUCUAGGCUAGGAGGCGGGAGAGGCCGACGGUACUCGGGGUAGGGGUAAAUCCAUUAUCCGGGAGGACCACCAGUGGCGAAGGUGUCGGCUAGAACGCGCUCGACGGUAGGGACGAAAGCUGGGGGAGCGAACCGGAUUAGAUACCCGGGUAGUCCCAGCUUGUAAACGAAUCGGGCUAGGA
Molecule: ribosomal RNA, 491 nt
Filed under: uncultured archaeon
Lineage: Archaea
Description: bacterial SSU rRNA
Rfam family: Archaeal small subunit ribosomal RNA
Source: RNAcentral